Homo sapiens (human) is the source of this 1432-nucleotide long non-coding RNA. Ensembl annotates it as NUTM2A antisense RNA 1. Its record names the gene NUTM2A-AS1. Lineage: Eukaryota; Metazoa; Chordata; Mammalia; Primates; Hominidae. The record is from Ensembl.
UCUCUCGGGAGCCUCCACCCAGGCGCAUGGCUCCAUGAAGCAAGAGGAGGAGGCAGAGCGCGAGAGAUCCCGUCCGCCCCAGCCGCGUCUGGGCCAGGAGAAAAGCAAAACCAUAUUCCUGCUGCUGUCAGUUUUGAUGCACUGAGAAAACUUCAGAGACCUAAGCUUUUUCCAGAGAAGAGAAGCUUUACUGGUGUUCCAGCCCUAAGGUGAGACCAGCUUAUGCAUCCUGGUUUAUAUUUUAUUUUGUCGCCUUUAUUCUCUUUCUCUUUAUUUUUCUUUUCUUCUUUCUUACAUUGUAUUUCUGUUUGGAAAAGACCAUGUACAAACAGAGUAAUAUGUGGAUCCAUGCCUAUCCAUCUUAGUAUAAUCAUGUAUUCAUUGUACUUUGUUGUAUACAUUUGGUACGUAUUCUAAAUAUGGACAUAUGCUAUGUAUCAUAAUGUACAUAACCAUUUCUCUAUUGAUAGACUGUUACAGUAUUUUCAAUUUCUGAUAACAGCAAAAAUGAUCCUUCAGUUGCUAUCAUCAAUAUUUAUUUGUACAUAUCAAUGAUCAUUUUAGAGGAUUAAAAACAGAAGAAGAAUUUUUAGGGAAACCAUGUAUAGUUAAAAUGUGUAUAUACUUUUCACAUUUUCAUAGAUAAAGAGCAUCCCCAUUUUUUUCCCCACUAACAACAAGACAAGAUGGCUGGAGAAAAAUAAGUCACCAAAUAUCAUAAAGAUACUUGCAUGUUUUAUAAGUAAUUAAUAACUACUUUCUCAUAACAGUAAAAACUAUUUUGUUUUGUAUGAGAGGAUUUUUCUCUCUAAGUUUUAAAAAAUCAUUACAUGCAAAUAUAUCACAUCAAACCCAAAAGCCAUUGCUAGCACACUGGUUCCUGUCUUAAUAUUAAGUAUGAGAUAAAAGGCCUUUAUCUUCCAGAAGGUUGUUCAUAACAUGCCAAAUAUAUGAACACCCAAUAGUCAAAGGACAUUAUCUCUAUGAUGUAAUUUUGAAAGUUAUUAAAAUAAUUGUUUAUCAAUUUCAUCUUACAAGCACACAAUUUAAACCAUUCUUUUAAAGUGGAUUUUAGAAGAUUGGAAUAGGAAGUUAUAGAAGUCAAUCCCUCCACAAAAACUGCCAUUAAACUGGAAAAAAUAAGAAUUAACCUUUUUGGAACUCUGGAUCCUAAUCAGAUAAAUAACAACCAUUAGUAGACUGCUUGAUGCUGUUGGCCUUUAGUAAGAAAAUGGCUGUAUGCACACACCAGAUACCAUCACUCAUUCUUAUUCACAAGAGUCAAAAAGUGAAAACAAACCUGUAUGUGUAGAUAAACAAAAUGUGGCAUGUACAUACAAGGGAAGAUUAUUUAGCCAUAAAAAGGGAAUGAUGUUCUGAUACAUGUUUACAACAUGGGUAAACCUUGAAAAUAUUAUGCUAAAUAAAAUAA